AGGACGAACGCUGGCGGCGUGCUUAACACAUGCAAGUCGAGCGGAAAGGCCCUUCGGGGUACUCGAGCGGCGAACGGGUGAGUAACACGUGAGCAACCUGCCCCUGGCUCUGGGAUAGCCUUCGGAAACGGGGAUUAAUACCGGAUAUUCACUGCUUCCUGCAUGGGGGGUGGUGGAAAGUUUUUCGGCUGGGGUGGGGCUCGCGGCCUAUCAGCUUGGUUGGGGGGGUGACGGCCCACCAAGGCGACGACGGGUAGCCGGCCUGAGAGGGCGACCGGCCACACUGGGACUGAGACACGGCCCAGACUCCUACGGGAGGCAGCAGUGGGGAAUAUUGCGCAAUGGGCGGAAGCCUGACGCAGCGACGCCGCGUGCGGGAUGAAGGCCUUCGGGUUGUAAACCGCUUUCACCAGGGACGAAGCGAGAGUGACGGUACCUGGGGAAGAAGCGCCGGCUAACUACGCGCCAGCAGCCGC
Molecule: ribosomal RNA, 476 nt
Filed under: uncultured bacterium
Lineage: Bacteria
Description: SSU rRNA
Rfam family: Bacterial small subunit ribosomal RNA
Source: RNAcentral